GACGCAGUAGGAUAGGCGAAGCGUGCUGUUGGAGUGCACGUCCAAGCAGUGAGAUUGAGUGUUAGGCAAAUCCGGCACUCUUAAGAUUGAGCUGUGAUGGGGAGAGGAACUUGUUCCUCGAGUCGUUGAUUUCACACUGCCGAGAAAAGCCUCUAGCUAGAAUAACGGUGCCCGUACCGCAAACCGACACAGGUAGUCAAGAUGAGAAUUCUAAGGUGAGCGAGCGAACUCUCGUUAAGGAACUCGGCAAAAUGACCCCGUAACUUCGGGAGAAGGGGUGCUCUUUGAGGUUCACGCUUCGAAGAGCCGCAGUGAAUAGGCCCAAGCGACUGUUUAUCAAAAACACAGGUCUCUGCUAAACCGUAAGGUGACGUAUAGGGGCUGACGCCUGCCCGGUGCUGGAAGGUUAAGAGGAGUGGUUAGCGCAAGCGAAGCUACGAAUCGAAGCCCCAGUAAACGGCGGCCGUAACUAUAACGGUCCUAAGGUAGCGAAAUUCCUUGUCGGGUAAGUUCCGACCCGCACGAAAGGCGUAACGAUUUGGGCACUGUCUCAACGAGAGACUCGGUGAAAUCAUAGUACCGGUGAAGAUGCCGGUUACCCGCGACAGGACGGAAAGACCCCGUGGAGCUUUACUGUAGCCUGAUAUUGAAAUUCGGUACAGUUUGUACAGGAUAGGUAGGAGCCUUAGAAGCGUGAGCGCUAGCUUACGUGGAGGCAUUGGUGGGAUACUACCCUAAUUGUAUUGGAUUUCUAACCCGCAGCACUUAUCGUGCUGGGAGACAGUGUCAGGCGGGCAGUUUGACUGGGGCGGUCGCCUCCUAAAGAGUAACGGAGGCGCUCAAAGGUUCCCUCAGAAUGGUUGGAAAUCAUUCAUAGAGUGUAAAGGCAUAAGGGAGCUUGACUGCGAGACCUACAAGUCGAGCAGGGUCGAAAGACGGACUUAGUGAUCCGGUGGUUCCGCAUGGAAGGGCCAUCGCUCAACGGAUAAAAGCUACCCCGGGGAUAACAGGCUUAUCUCCCCCAAGAGUUCACAUCGACGGGGAGGUUUGGCACCUCGAUGUCGGCUCAUCGCAUCCUGGGGCUGUAGUCGGUCCCAAGGGUUGGGCUGUUCGCCCAUUAAAGCGGUACGCGAGCUGGGUUCAGAACGUCGUGAGACAGUUCGGUCCCUAUCCGUCGUGGGCGUAGGAAAUUUGAGAGGAGCUGUCCUUAGUACGAGAGGACCGGGAUGGACAUACCUCUGGUGUACCAGUUGUCGUGCCAACGGCAUAGCUGGGUAGCUAUGUAUGGACGGGAUAAGUGCUGAAAGCAUCUAAGCAUGAAGCCCCCCUCGAGAUGAGAUUUCCCAACUUCGGUUAUAAGAUCCCUCAAAGAU
This 1373-nucleotide ribosomal RNA is filed under the name Staphylococcus pseudintermedius. Its description in RNAcentral is "partial 23S ribosomal RNA". It matches the Rfam family "Bacterial large subunit ribosomal RNA", at positions 1471 to 2845 of the family's 2925-position model. The record is from RNAcentral. Lineage: Bacteria; Bacillati; Bacillota; Bacilli; Caryophanales; Staphylococcaceae.